GAUGAACGCUGGCGGCGUGCUUAACACAUGCAAGUCGAACGGUGAAGGCGGAGCUUGCUCUGCUGGAUCAGUGGCGAACGGGUGAGUAACACGUGAGCAAUCUGCCCCUGACUCUGGGAUAAGCGCUGGAAACGGCGUCUAAUACUGGAUACGAGCUGCGAAGGCAUCUUCAGCAGCUGGAAAGAAUUUCGGUCAGGGAUGAGCUCGCGGCCUAUCAGCUUGUUGGUGAGGUAAUGGCUCACCAAGGCGUCGACGGGUAGCCGGCCUGGGAGGGUGACCGGCCACACUGGGACUGAGACACGGCCCAGACUCCUACGGGAGGCAGCAGUGGGGAAUAUUGCACAAUGGGCGAAAGCCUGAUGCAGCAACGCCGCGUGAGGGACGACGGCCUUCGGGUUGUAAACCUCUUUUAGCAGGGAAGAAGCGAAAGUGACGGUACCCGCAGAAAAAGCGCCGGCUAACUACGUG
This 468-nucleotide ribosomal RNA is filed under the name uncultured bacterium. RNAcentral's name for it is "partial 16S ribosomal RNA". It matches the Rfam family "Bacterial small subunit ribosomal RNA", at positions 28 to 507 of the family's 1533-position model. The record is from RNAcentral.